UCAGUUAUCUGGAUGAGAACUCUCUAAUGAAUAACCGAAUAAGUUUUGACUUUCAGAGUCGGAAAUAUGAAAGCCUUAAAGGCUAUCUAAGUCUUCAUUAUCAAGUCAGAUAUCGUUAAGACUUCAAAGAGGAUGCCAGCCUGAAAAGCACGUUGUUGAAUUUAGAAUUACCAUAAACUUUCUACUAAGAACGAAUUAGUAAUAAUUGGAUUAGUUCUAGCUAACCAAUUAUUUCUUUAACUAUUAAAAGUGUUCAAUUCGGAUUUUGGUUUGACUUCGUAUGGUUUAUAAAUAUUAACUAUUAUAUUAAAUCAUAUUU
Molecule: long non-coding RNA, 319 nt
Filed under: Brassica napus (rape)
Lineage: Eukaryota; Viridiplantae; Streptophyta; Magnoliopsida; Brassicales; Brassicaceae
Description: long non-coding RNA (BNAP_LNC022647)
Source: RNAcentral